CAGGGAACUGAAACAUCUAAGUACCUGGAGGAAGAGAAAGAAAAAUCGAUUUCCUGAGUAGCGGCGAGCGAAACGGAAAGAGCCCAAACCAAGAAGCUUGCUUCUUGGGGUUGUAGGACACUCUAUACGGAGUUACAAAAGAAAGUUAUAAAUGAAGCGGUCUGGAAAGGCCCGCCAAAGACGGUAACAGCCCGGUAGUUGAAAUGGCUUUCCCUCCAGAGUGGAUCCUGAGUACGGCGGAACACGUGAAAUUCCGUCGGAAUCCGGGAGGACCAUCUCCCAAGGCUAAAUACUCCCUAGUGACCGAUAGUGAACCAGUACCGUGAGGGAAAGGUGAAAAGCACCCCGGAAGGGGAGUGAAACAGUUCCUGAAACCGUGUGCCUACAAGUAGUUAGAGCCCGUUAAUGGGUGAUAGCGUGCCUUUUGUAGAAUGAACCGGCGAGUUACGAUUUGUUGCAAGGUUAAGCGGAAAAAGCGGAGCCGUAGCGAAAGCGAGUCUGAAUAGGGCGCAUAAGUAACAGGUCGUAGACCCGAAACCAGGUGAUCUACCCAUGUCCAGGAUGAAGGUAAGGUAAUACUUACUGGAGGUCCGAACCCACGCACGUUGAAAAGUGCGGGGAUGAGGUGUGGGUAGCGGAGAAAUUCCAAUCGAACUUGGAGAUAGCUGGUUCUCUCCGAAAUAGCUUUAGGGCUAGCCUCGAGGUAAAGAGUCAUGGAGGUAGAGCACUGUUUGGACUAGGGGCCCUUCUCGGGUUACCGAAUUCAGAUAAACUCCGAAUGCCAUGUACUUAUACUCGGGAGUCAGACUGCGAGUGAUAAGAUCCGUAGUCGAAAGGGAAACAGCCCAGACCACCAGUUAAGGUCCCCAAAUAUAUGUUAAGUGGAAAAGGAUGUGGGGUUGCUUAGACAACCAGGAUGUUGGCUUAGAAGCAGCCACCAUUGAAAGAGUGCGUAAUAGCUCACUGGUCGAGUGACCCCGCGCCGAAAAUGUACCGGGGCUAAACAUAUUACCGAAACUGUGGAUGAACCUCUUCGGAGGUUCGUGGUAGGAGAGCGUUCUAAGGGCGGUGAAGUCAGACCGGAAGGACUGGUGGAGCGCUUAGAAGUGAGAAUGCCGGUAUGAGUAGCGAAAGAAGGGUGAGAAUCCCUUCCACCGAAUAUCUAAGGUUUCCUGAGGAAGGCUCGUCCGCUCAGGGUUAGUCGGGACCUAAGCCGAGGCCGAUAGGCGUAGGCGAUGGACAACAGGUAGAGAUUCCUGUACCAGUGCUAAUUGUUUAACCGAUGGGGUGACACAGAAGGAUAGGGAAUCGCACGAAUGGAAAUGUGCGUCCAAGCAGUGAGUGUGA
Molecule: ribosomal RNA, 1347 nt
Filed under: Listeria innocua
Lineage: Bacteria; Bacillati; Bacillota; Bacilli; Caryophanales; Listeriaceae
Description: partial 23S ribosomal RNA
Rfam family: Bacterial large subunit ribosomal RNA
Source: RNAcentral